CAGCAGCCGCGGGAAUACGUAGGGUGCAAGCGUUAAUCGGAAUUACUGGGCGUAAAGCGUGCGCAGGCGGUUAUAUAAGACAGAUGUGAAAUCCCCGGGCUCAACCUGGGAACUGCAUUUGUGACUGUAUAGCUAGAGUACGGCAGAGGGGGAUGGAAUUCCGCGUGUAGCAGUGAAAUGCGUAGAUAUGCGGAGGAACACCGAUGGCGAAGGCAAUCCCCUGGGCCUGUACUGACACUCAUGCACGAAAGCGUGGGGAGCAAACAGGAUUAGAUACCCCGGUAGUCCCUGUCUCUUAUAC
RNAcentral lists this ribosomal RNA (301 nucleotides) under uncultured bacterium. RNAcentral describes it as "partial 16S ribosomal RNA". It matches the Rfam family "Bacterial small subunit ribosomal RNA", at positions 509 to 807 of the family's 1533-position model. The record is from RNAcentral.